RNA transcript from Capsicum annuum, 2426 nucleotides. RefSeq lists it as uncharacterized. The transcript is spliced from 8 exons. The record is from RefSeq and is a predicted model, not a curated record. NCBI's taxonomy places the organism in Eukaryota, Viridiplantae, Streptophyta, Magnoliopsida, Solanales, Solanaceae.
UUAAAAAACGAUUCUACACAUCCUAUUAGUCAGUGGCCCAGAUGAGAUGGCCCGUACCCGAGUCCCCACCAUUGUAGAAGAGGCGGGUACCUUUGAAACUUUUGAAAUUGGUGCAACAGCAAAAACACUGUGCGAUACGACUUAAUUUUCUCGAGAUAGAAGCAAAAAUGUGGGAAGAAGAAGCGAAUGGUAUAAGAAAGGAGGAAGAAGAAGCGCUGUUGGACCUCAUUGACCAACAAACUAAGAAUGUCCAAAAGCUUGCAAAAGCAAUCGCUUAUUAUACUUCUAAGUUUGAGCAAAAAGAGAAGAACUUAGAGGAGUUACAACAGGAACUUGCUCGCCUCCGGGGUCGGGUCAAUGUGGCAACAUCCACAAGGUAUCAUGUGAAUGACUUCAAUCCAGUGAAAGUUGAAAGACGAUCCAUGAGUCCUAUUCAGAUAAGUGAUGAUUCUUCUGCAAGCCUCUCUGAGUGUGAACCCCAACCUGACAAAGACAACAUCUUGCCACUUAAGAAAUCUUCAACACUUGAUAAAAAAAUGCCAAGUCUUUUUCAGAAAAACAAUGAUAAUUCCGGAAAGCUGUCCCGAGCAAAACCACUACUUAUCAUUCCUGAUGUCAAACCAAUGGUCUCCCUACCUUUAAAGACGGUAGAAUCUAGUCCCAUCCCAUGUUGUUCUGAUUCUUGUGCUGGAAUGUCAGUUUUUUCUUUUCGUAACACUCGUAUUGUAAGGUCAAAAGCAGAUAUUAGCGCAAAAACCCCUCCUGACAUCGGAGCUGUUGAGAUUCAAUGCAAAGGAACAAAGCGGAAGUCUGAGCAUAAAGAGCUGAUUCCAUUGAUAGGUAGAUCCUCGUCAGCGAACACGCUAAAUUGCCAGACAUGCAGUGUCAUGCAUAGUCAACACAAGCGAAAGAUGAGAACUAUUGUCUUGUGUCCUACAGAUGAUCAACUUUUUGCAAGCAGUUCACUGGAUGGGGUUGUCAACUUGUGGCAGGUGCAGGAUAGGGGGUCAUCUGCCAAUCUUCUCAGUAGCAUUGAUUGCUUUACACGUAAGUGUAGAAGAUGGCCAGAAGACGUAGCCUGGCAUCCAGAAGGUGGCAGUCUUUUUUCUGUGUACAGUGCUGAUGAUGGGGAUUCACAAAUUUCAAUAAUGAAUCUUAACAAGGGAAAAGAGAAUAUGCGAGUGUAUUUCUUGGAGGAGAAGCCCCAUGUCAAAGGAAUCAUUAACAACAUAAUGUUCAUGCCAUGGGAGGAGGGCUGUUUUGUUACUGGUGGUAGUGAUCAUGCAGUUGUCUUGUGGACUGAUAAAGAUGGAGAACAGUCAUGGAAGCCUAAAGAGUUGCAUAGAGGGCAUUCUUCUGCUGUAAUGGGAGUUGCUGGUUUGCAGCAUAAAAAAGUUGUGAUGUCUGCAGGUGCCGAUAAGCGUAUACUUGGAUUUGAUUUACUAGCUCAGAGAAUAGGUUACAAGCAUCAUGAAGAAAGUAAAUGCAUGAGUGUUCUGCCUAAUCCACACGACUUGAAUCUAUUUAUGGUUCAGACGGGGACCUUAGAGAAGCAGCUUCGCUUGUUUGAUUUUAGGUCGAGGCAAGCAGAGAUUCAUUCUUUUGGGUGGAAACAAGAAAGCAGCGACUCACACUCGGCUCUUAUAACUCAGGCUUGGUCACCUGAUGGUUUGUACAUUUCAUCUGGCUCAGUUGAUCCUGUCAUUCACAUAUUUGAUAUACGGUACAAUUCUCAUAAUCCUUGCCAGUCCAUUAGAGCUCAUCAGAGGCGAGUCUUCAAAGCUGUUUGGCACCAUACUCUCCCAGUCCUCAUUUCUAUAUCUUCUGAUUUGAACAUUGGAUUUCAUAAAAUUGUUUGAGGUGCAUAAAGAGGUGUUUUGCCUUUCCUUUUGUUCCCAUUCAUUUCAGAAGUUGUCGCUAGGAAGAAAUAUUGAGGUUCUAGGCCAAAGAAGUUCACCACGUGGGCUCUGAUACAACAGUGUUUGGUAUCCGCAUUGGAGUCCGAUUAAUCCUGUUCGCGUCAGGUAGGGUCCCAUUUGGGAAUAGUGCUCCCUACCAAGGAUUUUUUCAUACUCAAGGAUCGAACCCGAGACCUUUGGUUAAGAAAGAAGCAGCCCCAUCCACUGCACCACAUCCUUUGGUGAUUAAUCGAGCUGAUUUCAAGAUAUGAAAGUAGGGUGGCACACUCUUUAAACUUUCGUAGGUUAUUCCUUUUUAGACUUUGGUUAUUAAACAUCAUUGACUCAAACUAAAUUAUAGAGAAAGUUAAUAUGGAGACAGAGAAGUCAUCCAAUUUCUAUAAUUACAUGCAACAAAGUGGAGCAGAUUAAAAAGUGAUGCUUCCCAAAAGCUCCACAAUGCUUACAUGUCAAUCCACAUGGUUUUUAAUUUUUAAACUAAUACAAUAAUUAAUCAGCAUGUAGGGU